Molecule: non-coding RNA, 67 nt
Organism: Podarcis lilfordi (Lilford's wall lizard)
Lineage: Eukaryota; Metazoa; Chordata; Lepidosauria; Squamata; Lacertidae
Source: the annotation of a GenBank genome assembly
GGCUUCAGUGGAUCAGGGGGCCUGGCUGUUAACCAGAAGGGUGCUGGUUCGAGGCCACCCAGGGACA